AUUGAACGCUGGCGGCAGGCCUAACACAUGCAAGUCGAACGGUAACAGGAAGAAGCUUGCUUCUUUGCUGACGAGUGGCGGACGGGUGAGUAAUGUCUGGGAAACUGCCUGAUGGAGGGGGAUAACUACUGGAAACGGUAGCUAAUACCGCAUAACGUUGCAAGACCAAGGAGGGGAACCUUAGGGCCUCUUUCCAUCGGUUUGUCCCAGUUGGGAUUAGCUAGUAGGUGGGGUAACGGCUCACUUAGGCGACGAUCCCUAGCUGGUCUGAGAGGAUGACCAGCCACACUGGAACUGAGACACGGUCCAGACUCCUACGGGAGGCAGCGGUGGGGAAUAUUGCACAAUGGGCGCAAGCCUGCUGCAGCCAUGCCGCGUGUAUGAAGAAGGCCUUCGGGUUGUAAAGUACUUUCCGCGGGGAGGAAGGGAGUAAAGUUAAUACCUUUGCUCAUUGACGUUACCCGCAGAAGAAGCACCGGCUAACUCCGU
RNAcentral lists this ribosomal RNA (489 nucleotides) under uncultured bacterium. Its description in RNAcentral is "partial 16S ribosomal RNA". It matches the Rfam family "Bacterial small subunit ribosomal RNA", at positions 30 to 506 of the family's 1533-position model. The record is from RNAcentral.